This 354-nucleotide ribosomal RNA is filed under the name uncultured soil bacterium. RNAcentral describes it as "bacterial SSU rRNA". It matches the Rfam family "Bacterial small subunit ribosomal RNA", at positions 26 to 362 of the family's 1533-position model. The record is from RNAcentral.
AGGACGAACGCUGGCGGCGUGCUUAACACAUGCAAGUCGAGCGGUGAGGCCUUUCGGGGUACACGAGCGGCGAACGGGUGAGUAACACGUGGGUGAUCUGCCCUGCACUCUGGGAUAAGCCUGGGAAACUGGGUCUAAUACCGGAUAUGACCUGCUCUCGCAGUGGGGGUGGUAGAAAGUAUUUAGUUGGUGCAGGAUCGGGGCCCGCGGCCUAUCAGGUCUUGGUUGGUGGGUAAUCGGCCUACCGAAGGCGACGACGGGUAGCCGACCGUGAGAGGGUCGACCGGCCACGACGUGGGACUGGACGACCACGGCCCAGUACCUCCGUAACGGGAGGCAGGCGAGGUAGGGAAU